AGAGAUGUGUGAUGACGCAUAUCAAUAAGCGGAGGAAAAGAAACUAACAAGGAUUCCCUUAGUAACGGCGAGUGAAGCGGGAAGAGCUCAAAUUUGAAAUCUUCAAGGUUCUACCUUGACGAAUUGUAGUUUAUAGAAGUGUUUUCUGUUAGUAGAGUGGCAAAAGUUCUUUGGAAUAGGACAUCAUAGAGGGUGAGAAUCCCGUAUUUGGUCAUUCUUUCUAGCUUUGUGAUACACUUUCAACGAGUCGGAUUGUUUGGGAAUGCAGGUCCAAAAUGGGUGGUAAAUUUCAUCUAAAGCUAAAUAUUGGCGAGAGACCGAUAGCGAACAAGUACCGUGAGGGAAAGAUGAAAAGAACUUUGAAAAGAGAGUUAAACAGUACGUGAAAUUGUCAAAAGGGAAGCGUUUGACACCAGUGUUGUUUUUCCGAAAAUCAAUUACGAAUGUUUUAGUUUUUGAGAAGUUAUGACUUCAUCGGCUUGCUUCUCUCUUUAUGAAACUUUCUUAAUGCACUUUUCGGUUAACAAGUCAACAUCAAUUUCUUUUGUUGUAAAAGGGUAUGAGGAAGGUGGCUUUCUUUUCGGAGAAAGUGUUUAUAGCCUUGUACCUCUGCAAUCGGAGAGAUUGAGGUCUGCAGCGUAGAUCCUUCGGGGUUAGAUACAUUUGUGCUAAGUUAUAGCUUUUCAUAGACAACUUGUUGACUAUGUUAAGUCUUGUAGCUUACUCGCUUAUGCUAUUUUACCUACGCUUAGGAUGUUGAUCUGUAGUGCGUGCGC
This 776-nucleotide ribosomal RNA is filed under the name uncultured Neocallimastigales. RNAcentral describes it as "partial large subunit ribosomal RNA". It matches the Rfam family "Eukaryotic large subunit ribosomal RNA", at positions 23 to 647 of the family's 3401-position model. Lineage: Eukaryota; Fungi; Neocallimastigomycota; Neocallimastigomycetes; Neocallimastigales. The record is from RNAcentral.